RNAcentral lists this ribosomal RNA (275 nucleotides) under uncultured bacterium. RNAcentral's name for it is "partial 16S ribosomal RNA". It matches the Rfam family "Bacterial small subunit ribosomal RNA", at positions 338 to 630 of the family's 1533-position model. The record is from RNAcentral.
CCUACGGGGGGCUGCAGCAAGGAAUUUUCCCCAAUGGGCGCAAGCCUGAGGGAGCAACGCCGCGUGCAGGACGACGGCCUUCGGGUUGUAAACUGCUUUUGGGGGGGAAGAACCUGACGGUACCCCCCGAAUAAGCCCCGGCUAACUCCGUGCCAGCAGCCGCGGUAAGACGGAGGGGGCAAGCGUUGUCCGGACUUACUGGGCGUAAAGGGCCCGUAGGCGGCCUGAUGCGUCGGUGCUGAAAGCGCCCCGCUUAACGGGGUGAGGCGUGCCGA